Molecule: ribosomal RNA, 374 nt
Filed under: uncultured fungus
Lineage: Eukaryota; Fungi
Description: partial small subunit ribosomal RNA
Rfam family: Eukaryotic small subunit ribosomal RNA
Source: RNAcentral
GCUUGUCUCAAAGAUUAAGCCAUGCAUGUCUAAGUAUAAACAAAUUUAUAGUGAAACUGCGAAUGGCUCAUUAUAUCAGUUAUAGUUUAUUUGGCGAUAAAAACUACUUGGAUAACCGUAGUAAUUCUAGAGCUAAUACAUGACUAAAAGGGCUAGCCCUGCAUUUAUUAGAUACAACCAACCCUUCGGGUUUUGGCGAAUCAUAAUAACUGAGCGGACCGUAUUCGUACGGCGUUUCUUAUUAAUUUCUGCCCUAUCAGCUUUCGAUGGUAGGGUAUUGGCCUACCAUGGCGUUAACGGGUAACGGAGAAUUAGGGUUCGAUUCCGGAGAGGGAGCCUGAGAGAUGGCUACCACAUCCAAGGAAGGCAGCAGG